AGGUUAGUUUUACCCUAC
Molecule: non-coding RNA, 18 nt
Filed under: Arabidopsis thaliana (thale cress)
Lineage: Eukaryota; Viridiplantae; Streptophyta; Magnoliopsida; Brassicales; Brassicaceae
Also listed under: 1 other name
Source: RNAcentral